GCCCUAGUAGCUUAGUACUUAAAGCGCCGGUCUUGUAAU
This 39-nucleotide transfer RNA is filed under the name Pterygoplichthys gibbiceps (leopard pleco). Its description in RNAcentral is "partial tRNA-Thr". Lineage: Eukaryota; Metazoa; Chordata; Actinopteri; Siluriformes; Loricariidae. The record is from RNAcentral.